RNAcentral lists this ribosomal RNA (100 nucleotides) under Bacteroides fragilis. Its description in RNAcentral is "partial 23S ribosomal RNA". It matches the Rfam family "Bacterial large subunit ribosomal RNA", at positions 2827 to 2925 of the family's 2925-position model. The record is from RNAcentral. Lineage: Bacteria; Pseudomonadati; Bacteroidota; Bacteroidia; Bacteroidales; Bacteroidaceae.
UUUCAGGGUCGUUGUAGACUACAACGUUGAUAGGACGCAGGUGUACAGGUGGUAACAUCACAGCCGAGCGUUACUAAUUGCCCGAUGACUUUCUUUUAUC